GUUGCAUAGGUACACACGUGGCAGUGUGAUAUGCUGUCUUCCUCCCCUUCACCCACAUCUGGCAUUUCUCCCCAUGCUAUCCCUCCCAGUGCCCGCUUGCUGUCCCACCCCUAUUUCCCCCAGUAGAGCCCAAUGUGUAGUGCUCCGCUCCCUGUGUCCAUGUGUUCUCAUUGUUCAUCACCAGUCUACGAGCAAGAAUAUGCGGUAUUUCAUUUUCUGUUCUUGUGUCAGUUUGCUGAGAAUGAUGGUCUCCAGAUUCAUCCAUGGAUCGGAAGAUCCCACUUGGGAGCCCACACCACUGGGGCCUUGGGUCCCAACCAUGGAACCAUGCAGAUUCUCAACAAUUACUUGGCUAGAAACAGCCUAAGCCUGCAGAGUUCCUAGGGAAGGGGCAUGGGGGUAGGUGUGGCCAUCACCAAUGCUAUGGCUGCCUGUGGCCUAAGCCAUUUGAGCUUCAUGGGGGAAGGAUGGUAGUCAUCACUGUGGCUGCAGAGCCUCCCUGUGGGAACUCCAACUCCAGCCAGAGGCUCAGGGACAGAACUCUGAUCUCCCUGGAACUGGGCCCCUAGGAGGAGUGGAGGCUGUAGUCUCCACAGACCAGUAGACUUAGUCUUGCCUCUUGCUUCUCUAAAGAAUCCAGGCAGCCCAGAUGAGUGGGCUUUCCCCCAGUGUAGCACACCACUUCCACCAAGGGAUAGCCAAAGUGCUUCAUUAAAUGGAUUCUGCUUCCUGUGCCACCCAAUCGGGUGAGACCCCCUUAACAGGGGUUGUCAGACAUCCUAUAUAGGAGCAUUUUUACUGUCAUCAGGUUGGUGCCCCUUGAGCCCAGAGAUCCCAGAAGAAGGAGUAGGCACAUAUUUUUGCUAUUCUUUAGCCUUCUUGAGUGACAUCUCUGGGUGCAGGAGCAAAC
RNAcentral lists this long non-coding RNA (910 nucleotides) under Callithrix jacchus (white-tufted-ear marmoset). RNAcentral describes it as "lncRNA (ENSCJAG00000077255.1)". Lineage: Eukaryota; Metazoa; Chordata; Mammalia; Primates; Cebidae. The record is from RNAcentral.